This 74-nucleotide non-coding RNA is filed under the name Heterosigma akashiwo. The record is from RNAcentral. Lineage: Eukaryota; Raphidophyceae; Chattonellales; Chattonellaceae.
AAUUAAAAAAAAAAAAAAAAAAAAAAAGGAAAGGAAAGGAGAGGGAAAGGAAAGUAAUCGUUACUAUGUGCUUG